Molecule: ribosomal RNA, 253 nt
Filed under: Phocaeicola plebeius DSM 17135
Lineage: Bacteria; Pseudomonadati; Bacteroidota; Bacteroidia; Bacteroidales; Bacteroidaceae
Description: partial 16S ribosomal RNA
Rfam family: Bacterial small subunit ribosomal RNA
Source: RNAcentral
UACGGAGGAUGCGAGCGUUAUCCGGAUUUAUUGGGUUUAAAGGGAGCGCAGACGGGUCGUUAAGUCAGCUGUGAAAGUUUGGGGCUCAACCUUAAAAUUGCAGUUGAUACUGGCGUCCUUGAGUGCGGUUGAGGUGCGCGGAAUUCGUGGUGUAGCGGUGAAAUGCUUAGAUAUCACGAAGAACUCCGAUUGCGAAGGCAGCACACUAAGCCGUAACUGACGUUCAUGCUCGAAAGUGUGGGUAUCAAACAGG